Molecule: ribosomal RNA, 403 nt
Filed under: uncultured bacterium
Lineage: Bacteria
Description: partial 16S ribosomal RNA
Rfam family: Bacterial small subunit ribosomal RNA
Source: RNAcentral
AUCGAACGCUGGCGGCAGGCCUAACACAUGCAAGUCGAGCGAGCGGCGGACGGGUGAGUAAUGUAUGGGGACUGCCUGAUAGAGGGGGAUAACUACUGGAAACGGUGGCUAAUACCGCAUACUAUCGGAUAACCCAGAUGGGAUUAGCUAGUAGGUGGGGUGAAGGCUCACCUAGGCGACGAUCUCUAGCUGGUCUGAGAGGUUGAUCAGCCACACUGGGACGGAGACACGGCCCAGACUCCUACGGAGGCAGCAGUGGGGAAUAUUGGACAAUGGACGCAAGCCUGAUGCAGCCAUGCCGCGUGUAUGAAGAAGGCCUUAGGGUUUUAAAGUGCUUUCAGCGGGGAAGCGUUACCCGCAGAAGAAGCACCGGCUAACUCCGUGCCAGCAGCCGCGGUAAUAC